Molecule: ribosomal RNA, 1605 nt
Filed under: Janthinobacterium sp. RA13
Lineage: Bacteria; Pseudomonadati; Pseudomonadota; Betaproteobacteria; Burkholderiales; Oxalobacteraceae
Description: bacterial LSU rRNA
Rfam family: Bacterial large subunit ribosomal RNA
Source: RNAcentral
AGUGCACAUGGUGGAUGCCUUGGCGAUUACAGGCGAUGAAGGACGUAGUAGCUUGCGAUAAGCUGCGGGGAGUGAGCAAACACACUUUGAUCCGCAGAUUUCCGAAUGGGGCAACCCACCCUUUUAGGGUAUUGCAUACUGAAUACAUAGGUAUGCAAGGCGAACGCGGCGAACUGAAACAUCUAAGUAGCUGCAGGAAAAGAAAUCAACCGAGAUUCCCAAAGUAGCGGCGAGCGAAAUGGGAAGAGCCUGUACGUGAUAGUCGGACCGAUAACAGAAUCCUCUGGAAAUAGGAGCCAUAGUGGGUGAUAGCCCCGUAUGUGAAAUCGGACCGGUGGUACUAAGCGUACGACAAGUAGGGCGGGACACGUGACAUCCUGUCUGAAUAUGGGGGGACCAUCCUCCAAGGCUAAAUACUCGUAAUCGACCGAUAGUGAACCAGUACCGUGAGGGAAAGGCGAAAAGAACCCCGGAAGGGGAGUGAAAUAGAUCCUGAAACCGUGUGCAUACAAACAGUAGGAGCGGACUUGUUCCGUGACUGCGUACCUUUUGUAUAAUGGGUCAGCGACUUACAUUCAGUGGCAAGGUUAACCAUAUAGGGAAGCCGUAGAGAAAUCGAGUCCGAAUAGGGCGAUCAGUCGCUGGGUGUAGACCCGAAACCAAGUGAUCUACUCAUGGCCAGGAUGAAGGUGCGGUAACACGCCCUGGAGGUCCGAACCCACUAAUGUUGAAAAAUUAGGGGAUGAGCUGUGGGUAGGGGUGAAAGGCUAAACAAACUUGGAAAUAGCUGGUUCUCUCCGAAAACUAUUUAGGUAGUGCCUCAAGUAUCACCAUCGGGGGUAGAGCACUGUUAUGGCUAGGGGGUCAUUGCGACUUACCAAACCAUUGCAAACUCCGAAUACCGAUGAGUGCGAGCUUGGGAGACAGACGUCGGGUGCUAACGUCCGGCGUCAAGAGGGAAACAACCCAGACCGCCAGCUAAGGUCCCAAAGAUUGGCUAAGUGGAAAACGAAGUGGGAAGGCUAAAACAGUCAGGAUGUUGGCUUAGAAGCAGCCAUCAUUUAAAGAAAGCGUAAUAGCUCACUGAUCGAGUCGUCCUGCGCGGAAGAUGUAACGGGGCUAAGCCAGUCACCGAAGCUGCGGAUAUUGUUCUGUGAUUUAUCACAGAUAUAUAUGGUAGGAGAGCGUUCUGUAAGCCUGCGAAGGUGUCUUGUAAAGGAUGCUGGAGGUAUCAGAAGUGCGAAUGCUGACAUGAGUAGCGAUAAUGGGGGUGAAAAGCCUCCACGCCGUAAGCCCAAGGUUUCCUGUUCAACGUUCAUCGGAGCAGGGUGAGUCGGCCCCUAAGGCGAGGCAGAGAUGCGUAGCUGAUGGGAAGCAGGUUAAUAUUCCUGCACCGUCGUAUGAUGCGAUGGGGGGACGGAUCGCGGAAGGUUGUCCAACUGUUGGAAUAGUUGGUUUUUGGCUCAUAGAAGGCACUUAGGCAAAUCCGGGUGCGGAAUUCAAGGGGUUGAGACGAGUGAACUUGUUCACGAAGCAAUCGGAAGUGGUUCCAAGAAAAGCCUCUAAGCUUCAGUCAUACGAGACCGUACCGCAAACCGACACAGG